CUCGAAAAAAAUAUGAGCUAUAAAUUAAAAUGUUAGUUAAUGUUGUAUAUUUAUUUAUAAUUUAUUUAUAGAAAUGAAAUUUUAUUCAAAUUUUUAUAUAUCUAGUUUUUUAAGAAAUAAGUUUAAUUUAGAAUAUUUAUUUAAAUAUUAUAAUAUUUUUUUUUUAUACUUAUAUAUAUAUAUAAAUAAAUUAAAAAUUUGAUAUUAAAUUUGUAAAUAAAUAUUUAAUAAUUUAAGGGAUAAACUUUAAAUUUAUUUAAAAUGUUUAAAUUAUAAAUAAAUUAAUUAAUUUAAAAUAAUUAAUUAAUAAAAAAUAUAUUAUAAUUUAUUUAUUAUUAAAUAAAUAUUUUUAAAUAUUUAAUAAUAUAACAUAUUUAAUUAAAAUAUUAAAAUAUAAAUAAUAAUAAAAUUUAUUUAUAAAUUAUGGUUAAAUUAGUAAAUUAAUUUAUUGAUAUAUGUAUGCAUAUAUAUAUAUUAAAUAUAGAUAAAUUUAAGGAACUAGGCAAAAAUAAUAUUCGAAUGUUUAUCAAAAACAUAUCAUUUUGAAAAUAAUUUAAUGUUUGGCCUGCCCACUGAAAUUUAAAUGGCUGCAGUAAUUUGACUGUGCAAAGGUAGCAUAAUCAAUUGUUUUUUAAUUUAAAUCUUGAAUGAAUGGUUUAACGAAAUAUUAACUGUCUCAAAUUUAAUAAUAUUUGAAUUUAAAUUUUUAGUAAAAAUGCUGAAAAUAUGGUUAAAAGACGAGAAGACCCUAUAGAAUUUUAUAGUUUAUAUUUAAAUUAAAUUUAUUUAUUAUUUAAAUAUAAAUUAUUUAAUUGGGGAAAUUUUAAAAAAAAAUUUUUAUUAAAUUUAAACAAAAAUUAUUGGAUUUUUGAGUAUUUACUAAUGAAUAAAAGAUAAAAUUACCUUAGGGAUAACAGCAUAAUUUUUUUUGAAAGUUCAAAUUGAUAAAAAAGAUUAUGACCUCGAUGUUGAAUUAAAAUAAAAUUUAAAUGAAGAGAUUUAAAGUUUAGGUCUGUUCGACCUUUAAAAUUUUACAUGAUUUGAGUUCAGACCGGUGUAAGCCAGGUCGGUUUCUAUCUUUAAUUUAAGAUUUUUAAAUUUGUACGAAAGGAAAGUUUAAAAUUAAAUAAUUUAUAUAAAUUGAAUAAAAUUAAUU
Molecule: ribosomal RNA, 1156 nt
Filed under: Sirex nitobei
Lineage: Eukaryota; Metazoa; Arthropoda; Insecta; Hymenoptera; Siricidae
Description: 16S ribosomal RNA
Source: RNAcentral